Molecule: ribosomal RNA, 461 nt
Organism: Lachnobacterium bovis DSM 14045
Lineage: Bacteria; Bacillati; Bacillota; Clostridia; Lachnospirales; Lachnospiraceae
Rfam family: Bacterial large subunit ribosomal RNA
Source: Rfam
GGUCAAGCAAAAAAGAGCGCAGGGUGGAUGCCUUGGCACUAAGAGCCGAUGAAAGACGUGAUAAGCUGCGAAAAGCUGCGGGGAAGUGCAAAUAACUAAAGAUCCGCAGAUGUCUGAAUGGGGGAACCCAUCUAGGAGAACCUAGAUAUCCAUAUGUGAAUAAAAUAGUGUAUGGAAGGGAACCCGGUGAACUGAAACAUCUAAGUAGCCGGAGGAAGAGAAAGAAAAAUCGAUUUUGUAAGUAGCGGCGAGCGAAAGCGAAAGAGGCCAAACCUAGGUGCGUGCACUUAGGGGUUCGGACCGUAGAAUUGAUUCAAACGAGUGAGCAGAAUUGUUUUGGGAAAGCAAGCCAAAGAGGGUGAAAGCCCCGUAAGCGAAGCGAGUGAGACAAGACGGAAUCCAGAGUACAUCGAGACACGAGAAACCUUGAUGGAAAGAGCGGGGACCACCCCGUAAGCCUA